RNAcentral lists this ribosomal RNA (1198 nucleotides) under Klebsiella pneumoniae. RNAcentral's name for it is "bacterial SSU rRNA". It matches the Rfam family "Bacterial small subunit ribosomal RNA", at positions 299 to 1460 of the family's 1533-position model. The record is from RNAcentral. Lineage: Bacteria; Pseudomonadati; Pseudomonadota; Gammaproteobacteria; Enterobacterales; Enterobacteriaceae.
GGGGGGCCCCAACGGGGAAAUUGGGACCCCCGGUCCCCAGAUUUCUUUUCGGGGAGGGGAGCAUGGGGGGAAUUUUUCCCCAAAGGGGGGCAACCCUUGAAGCAACCCUUCCCGGGUUUUUGGAAAAAAGGCCUUUCGGGGUUUGUAAAGCCAUUUUCAGGGGGGGGAGGAAGGCGGUUAAGGUUUAAUAACCUUUGUCGGAUUGACGUUACCCGCCAGAAGAAGCACCGGGCUAAAUUCCGUGCCAGCAGCCGCGGUUAUACGGAGGGUGCCAAGCGUUUAUUGGAAUUACUGGGCGUAAAGCGCACGCCCGGCGGUUUGUCAAGUUGGGAUGUGAAAUCCCCGGGCUCAACCUGGGAACUGCAUUCGAAACUGGCAGGCUAGAGUCUUGUAGAGGGGGGUAGAAUUCCAGGUGUAGCGGUGAAAUGCGUAGAGAUCUGGAGGAAUACCGGUGGCGAAGGCGGCCCCCUGGACAAAGACUGACGCUCAGGUGCGAAAGCGUGGGGAGCAAACAGGAUUAGAUACCCUGGUAGUCCACGCCGUAAACGAUGUCGAUUUGGAGGUUGUGCCCCUGAGGCGUGGCUUCCGGAGCUAACGCGUUAAAUCGACCGCCUGGGGAGUACGGCCGCAAGGUUAAAACUCAAAUGAAUUGACGGGGGCCCGCACAAGCGGUGGAGCAUGUGGUUUAAUUCGAUGCAACGCGAAGAACCUUACCUGGUCUUGACAUCCACAGAACUUUCCAGAGAUGGAUUGGUGCCUUCGGGAACUGUGAGACAGGUGCUGCAUGGCUGUCGUCAGCUCGUGUUGUGAAAUGUUGGGUUAAGUCCCGCAACGAGCGCAACCCUUAUCCUUUGUUGCCAGCGGUUAGGCCGGGAACUCAAAGGAGACUGCCAGUGAUAAACUGGAGGAAGGUGGGGAUGACGUCAAGUCAUCAUGGCCCUUACGACCAGGGCUACACACGUGCUACAAUGGCAUAUACAAAGAGAAGCGACCUCGCGAGAGCAAGCGGACCUCAUAAAGUAUGUCGUAGUCCGGAUUGGAGUCUGCAACUCGACUCCAUGAAGUCGGAAUCGCUAGUAAUCGUAGAUCAGAAUGCUACGGUGAAUACGUUCCCGGGCCUUGUACACACCGCCCGUCACACCAUGGGAGUGGGUUGCAAAAGAAGUAGGUAGCUUAACCUUCGGGAGGGCGCUACCAC